CUAUUGAUACAUUUUAACUGUGAUGCCUUUCCAAAACAUUGAAGUGGCCAAGAGAAUUUUACUCUCAAUGCCCAGUGGGAACUCAAGCUCAUAACCCCGAGACCAAGAGUCCCAUGUUCUACAGACUGAGCCAGCCAGGCGCCCUUGUACUGUCUCUCCCAACAAGAAGACACCUAGACACAGAGUCUCAGGUUUCCUAAUCAAGUAACAGAAGAGACUUUAGGUUAUGUAGAAAGAUCAAUCAUGUUAAAUCAAGACUAUCAAAGUUCAACAGCAAGCUCGAGGGAAAAGAAUUUUUCCAUGAGGAAGAAAAACAGAGACAAGAGGAGCAGAGUGCCCUGACCCCUGUGAUGUCAACUUUUUACCUGCAGAGCUUGACUGGUGCAUCAAAACUCAUCUCCUUGGCCCGGGAAGAUGUAGUGACCCCAGCAUCCUCUAGGACCCCAGUGGGCCUGGUCUGGUGGCUGCUUUUGUAGAGGGACCCCAGAGCAUGGGCAAUUCCAGGGUCCAGGCGGUGCCGAGGGGACUGCUCAGUGCCCACCUGACUCAGGGCCCAUGCAGCCUACCUCAGUCCUGUGGGCAGCUCAGAGCACAGGCGCAUUUCCUUCAGCAUGGUCCUGGUCUCAGCCAUAGCCACAGCCUGACGCCACGCACGGCCAUGUUCAGACGACCCAGACAAGGCUGUCAGAGCUUUUUGUGGCCUGUGUCUAUUAGCUUUCCUGGGUUGCUGACUUCUUCAGUUCCAUUCUGGGACCAAUGAGGCAAGACCAAAACCCAAGGAACUCACGUGUCGGUCAAGGUUUCUAGCCAGCCUGCCUUCCCUUCUCCAUUUCUGUCUUCUUCUGUCUGCUUUACACAUAAUAUCCAGGGGUUUUAGUUGUACUUUGCAGGAGAAAUAGGGCAAAGUGUGUCUAUGCCAUCUUCCGAGAAAUGAAAGUCAUUGUUUUUGAUGGCUAAAUAAUGUGCAUGGCAUAUAGUUCAUUAACCGGUCUCUCUCUGAUAGCAUUGAGGUUGUUUCAAGGGUGUUUUUUUGUUGUUGUUUUUUG
Long non-coding RNA from Mustela erminea (ermine), 1046 nucleotides. RefSeq lists it as uncharacterized. NCBI's taxonomy places the organism in Eukaryota, Metazoa, Chordata, Mammalia, Carnivora, Mustelidae. The record is from RefSeq and is a predicted model, not a curated record. The transcript has 4 exons.